This 212-nucleotide long non-coding RNA is filed under the name Mytilus galloprovincialis (Mediterranean mussel). Lineage: Eukaryota; Metazoa; Mollusca; Bivalvia; Mytilida; Mytilidae. The record is from RNAcentral.
GAUUUACAAAUAAGUCAACAUGACUGAAAUGGUCAAUUGACCCCCUAAGGAGUUAUUGUCCUUUAUAGUCAAUUUUUAACAAUUUUUUUUUAAAUUUGUAAAUUUUUACUAACAUUUUCCACUGAAACUACUGGGCAAAGUUCAUUAUAGAUAGAGAUAACUGUAAGCAACAAGAAUGUUCAGUAAAGUAAGACGUACAAACACAUCACCAC